Molecule: ribosomal RNA, 265 nt
Filed under: uncultured prokaryote
Description: partial 16S ribosomal RNA
Rfam family: Bacterial small subunit ribosomal RNA
Source: RNAcentral
UACGUAGGUGGCGAGCGUUGUCCGGAUUUACUGGGCGUAAAGGGAGCGUAGGCGGACUUUUAAGUGAGAUGUGAAAUACCCGGGCUCAACUUGGGUGCUGCAUUUCAAACUGGAAGUCUAGAGUGCAGGAGAGGAGAAUGGAAUUCCUAGUGUAGCGGUGAAAUGCGUAGAGAUUAGGAAGAACACCAGUGGCGAAGGCGAUUCUCUGGACUGUAACUGACGCUGAGGCGCGAAAGUGUGGGGAGCAAACAGGAUUAGAUACCCU